GUUGGGGUUUGGUUCGGGGGAGAAAAAUUAUUGUGUCUUUUAAAUGAAACUUUUAGCAAGGUUCAAUGGAUCUAGUGGGUUUGACUUUGAUAGAAAAAAUUUUGAAUAUAUGUGAUGACAAAGUAAUGUUUUAGCAGAGGCAUCAAAUAAAAAUCAAUAAAUUGUUGAGCAAAGUACAAAAAGUGCCAUGUAGUUAGGGUGAUUUCAAGUAGGAUUCUGUGGCAUGGCUUUGACAAACUAGUACCACAUGGUUCAGUCCAUUAGUAAAGAAGGUCCAAAAAUUCUAACACCACUAAUGGCUGCUGACACGGCACUAUUUUUCUGUCCACCUGGUCUAUAGCGACAUCAGCAGCAAUUAGCCGUAUUAGGGUGUUUGGACCUUCUUUGC
This 388-nucleotide unclassified non-coding RNA is filed under the name Hevea brasiliensis (rubber tree). Lineage: Eukaryota; Viridiplantae; Streptophyta; Magnoliopsida; Malpighiales; Euphorbiaceae. The record is from RNAcentral.